GAUGAACGCUGGCGGCGUGCCUAAUACAUGCAAGUCGAGCGAACAGAUGAGGAGCUUGCUCCUCUGACGUUAGCGGCGGACGGGUGAGUAACACGUGGAUAACCUACCUAUAAGACUGGUAUAACUUCGGGAAACCGGAGCUAAUACCGGAUAAUAUAUUGAACCGCAUGGUUCAAUAGUGAAAGACGGUUUUGCUGUCACUUAUAGAUGGAUCCGCGCCGCAUUAGCUAGUUGGUAAGGUAACGGCUUACCAAGGCAACGAUGCGUAGACGACCUGAGAGGGUGAUAGGCCACCCUGGAACUGAGACACGGUCCAGACUCCUACGGGAGGCAGCAGUAGGGAAUCUUCCGCAAUGGGCGAAAGCAUGACGGAGCAACGCCGCGUGAGUGAUGAAGGUCUUCGGAUCGUAAAACUCUGUUAUUAGGGAAGAACAAAUGUGUAAGUAACUAUGCACGUCUUGACGGUACCUAAUCAGAAAGCCACGGCUAACUACGUG
Molecule: ribosomal RNA, 497 nt
Filed under: uncultured bacterium
Lineage: Bacteria
Description: partial 16S ribosomal RNA
Rfam family: Bacterial small subunit ribosomal RNA
Source: RNAcentral